This 100-nucleotide small nucleolar RNA is filed under the name Drosophila persimilis. RNAcentral's name for it is "snoRNA:GL27922". Lineage: Eukaryota; Metazoa; Arthropoda; Insecta; Diptera; Drosophilidae. The record is from RNAcentral. RNAcentral also lists the same sequence under 1 other name.
GUGGCCUGUGAAAUUAUUUGUUACAAUUUGUCGCUCGUUGGAAUUGUUGCACUACUUUGCGGGCCCAGAAAGAACUUAGAUUCCAUUUUAAUCAUAGGCU